AUGAUUGAUUUUCGUGAUGUGCUUGAAGUUUUUGGAUUGGGUGAUCUUGGUUUUGCAGGACGACCCUACACUUAUGAUAACAAAUGCGGAGGGUGGGCGAACGUCAAGGUCCGCCUCGACUGAGCCAUUGCAACUAAUUCCUGGAGGGAUAUUUUUGGCCAUGCGAAGGUUGAGCACUUGGUGGCUCCUAGCUCAGAUCAUUUGCCCAUCCCGCUCCGCUGCUCAAUCGAGGAGCCAGUGUUGGUUGCUGGAAGGAGAUGCCGCCAAUAUGAGGUCAUGUGGGAAAGGGACCCCUCUUUACCGGAGGUAAUUAUGAAUACAUGGACUGAAUUAGUGUCUAUGCUUAACCUUGGUGAUAUUGCUUCUGGUUUGGGAAAUUUGAUGAAACAGUUGGAGGAUCGGAGCCGGAUUUUUUUUGGUAAUGUCAUCAAGGAAAUUAAUAAAUCUCGCUCUCGUUUGGAGGAGCUUACGUCCAUGAACGCAGAUAGAAAAGAUAUCAGAGAGGCCACUGACAGAAUGAACGAACUCUUGUAUCGUGAGGAGAUGCUUUGGAUGCAGUGGUCGCGGAUUGCAUGGUUAAAGGAAGGGGACCGGAACACUCCGUUUUUCCAUAGGAAGGUUGUCUGGCGAGCCCGCAAAAAUCAGAUUAAAAUGCUACUGGAUGAUACGGGUGCUAUUCACAAGGAUCAUGACUCAAUGGCAGCCAUGGCCACAUCGUACUUCUCUGUGUUAUUUUUCGCUGAUAAUUCCUUGUGUGUGGAUCCAGUGAUUGAUUUAAUUAACACUCGUGUUACUGACCGUAUGAAUGAUGACUGUCGGCGUUCUGGGAACGGGGGUACCCAGACUUGCCUGCCUGCGGCCUGCGGCGUGGCUCAAGGAGUCGCCCAGUACGACCCAUCUUCAUCAACACAUGCUUAA
This 918-nucleotide ribosomal RNA is filed under the name Triticum aestivum (bread wheat). RNAcentral's name for it is "partial small subunit ribosomal RNA". Lineage: Eukaryota; Viridiplantae; Streptophyta; Magnoliopsida; Poales; Poaceae. The record is from RNAcentral.